RNAcentral lists this ribosomal RNA (2837 nucleotides) under Escherichia coli 2-052-05_S1_C3. Its description in RNAcentral is "bacterial LSU rRNA". It matches the Rfam family "Bacterial large subunit ribosomal RNA". Lineage: Bacteria; Pseudomonadati; Pseudomonadota; Gammaproteobacteria; Enterobacterales; Enterobacteriaceae. The record is from RNAcentral.
GCGAUAAGCGUCGGUAAGGUGAUAUGAACCGUUAUAACCGGCGAUUUCCGAAUGGGGAAACCCAGUGUGUUUCGACACACUAUCAUUAACUGAAUCCAUAGGUUAAUGAGGCGAACCGGGGGAACUGAAACAUCUAAGUACCCCGAGGAAAAGAAAUCAACCGAGAUUCCCCCAGUAGCGGCGAGCGAACGGGGAGCAGCCCAGAGCCUGAAUCAGUGUGUGUGUUAGUGGAAGCGUCUGGAAAGGCGCGCGAUACAGGGUGACAGCCCCGUACACAAAAAUGCACAUGCUGUGAGCUCGAUGAGUAGGGCGGGACACGUGGUAUCCUGUCUGAAUAUGGGGGGACCAUCCUCCAAGGCUAAAUACUCCUGACUGACCGAUAGUGAACCAGUACCGUGAGGGAAAGGCGAAAAGAACCCCGGCGAGGGGAGUGAAAAAGAACCUGAAACCGUGUACGUACAAGCAGUGGGAGCACGCUUAGGCGUGUGACUGCGUACCUUUUGUAUAAUGGGUCAGCGACUUAUAUUCUGUAGCAAGGUUAACCGAAUAGGGGAGCCGAAGGGAAACCGAGUCUUAACUGGGCGUUAAGUUGCAGGGUAUAGACCCGAAACCCGGUGAUCUAGCCAUGGGCAGGUUGAAGGUUGGGUAACACUAACUGGAGGACCGAACCGACUAAUGUUGAAAAAUUAGCGGAUGACUUGUGGCUGGGGGUGAAAGGCCAAUCAAACCGGGAGAUAGCUGGUUCUCCCCGAAAGCUAUUUAGGUAGCGCCUCGUGAACUCAUCUCCGGGGGUAGAGCACUGUUUCGGCAAGGGGGUCAUCCCGACUUACCAACCCGAUGCAAACUGCGAAUACCGGAGAAUGUUAUCACGGGAGACACACGGCGGGUGCUAACGUCCGUCGUGAAGAGGGAAACAACCCAGACCGCCAGCUAAGGUCCCAAAGUCAUGGUUAAGUGGGAAACGAUGUGGGAAGGCCCAGACAGCCAGGAUGUUGGCUUAGAAGCAGCCAUCAUUUAAAGAAAGCGUAAUAGCUCACUGGUCGAGUCGGCCUGCGCGGAAGAUGUAACGGGGCUAAACCAUGCACCGAAGCUGCGGCAGCGACGCUGAUGCGUUGUUGGGUAGGGGAGCGUUCUGUAAGCCUGUGAAGGUGUGCUGUGAGGCAUGCUGGAGGUAUCAGAAGUGCGAAUGCUGACAUAAGUAACGAUAAAGCGGGUGAAAAGCCCGCUCGCCGGAAGACCAAGGGUUCCUGUCCAACGUUAAUCGGGGCAGGGUGAGUCGACCCCUAAGGCGAGGCCGAAAGGCGUAGUCGAUGGGAAACAGGUUAAUAUUCCUGUACUUGGUGUUACUGCGAAGGGGGGACGGAGAAGGCUAUGUUGGCCGGGCGACGGUUGUCCCGGUUUAAGCGUGUAGGCUGGUUUUCCAGGCAAAUCCGGAAAAUCAAGGCUGAGGCGUGAUGACGAGGCACUACGGUGCUGAAGCAACAAAUGCCCUGCUUCCAGGAAAAGCCUCUAAGCAUCAGGUAACAUCAAAUCGUACCCCAAACCGACACAGGUGGUCAGGUAGAGAAUACCAAGGCGCUUGAGAGAACUCGGGUGAAGGAACUAGGCAAAAUGGUGCCGUAACUUCGGGAGAAGGCACGCUGAUAUGUAGGUGAAGUCCCUCGCGGAUGGAGCUGAAAUCAGUCGAAGAUACCAGCUGGCUGCAACUGUUUAUUAAAAACACAGCACUGUGCAAACACGAAAGUGGACGUAUACGGUGUGACGCCUGCCCGGUGCCGGAAGGUUAAUUGAUGGGGUCAGCGCAAGCGAAGCUCUUGAUCGAAGCCCCGGUAAACGGCGGCCGUAACUAUAACGGUCCUAAGGUAGCGAAAUUCCUUGUCGGGUAAGUUCCGACCUGCACGAAUGGCGUAAUGAUGGCCAGGCUGUCUCCACCCGAGACUCAGUGAAAUUGAACUCGCUGUGAAGAUGCAGUGUACCCGCGGCAAGACGGAAAGACCCCGUGAACCUUUACUAUAGCUUGACACUGAACAUUGAGCCUUGAUGUGUAGGAUAGGUGGGAGGCUUAGAAGUGUGGACGCCAGUCUGCAUGGAGCCGACCUUGAAAUACCACCCUUUAAUGUUUGAUGUUCUAACGUUGACCCGUAAUCCGGGUUGCGGACAGUGUCUGGUGGGUAGUUUGACUGGGGCGGUCUCCUCCUAAAGAGUAACGGAGGAGCACGAAGGUUGGCUAAUCCUGGUCGGACAUCAGGAGGUUAGUGCAAUGGCAUAAGCCAGCUUGACUGCGAGCGUGACGGCGCGAGCAGGUGCGAAAGCAGGUCAUAGUGAUCCGGUGGUUCUGAAUGGAAGGGCCAUCGCUCAACGGAUAAAAGGUACUCCGGGGAUAACAGGCUGAUACCGCCCAAGAGUUCAUAUCGACGGCGGUGUUUGGCACCUCGAUGUCGGCUCAUCACAUCCUGGGGCUGAAGUAGGUCCCAAGGGUAUGGCUGUUCGCCAUUUAAAGUGGUACGCGAGCUGGGUUUAGAACGUCGUGAGACAGUUCGGUCCCUAUCUGCCGUGGGCGCUGGAGAACUGAGGGGGGCUGCUCCUAGUACGAGAGGACCGGAGUGGACGCAUCACUGGUGUUCGGGUUGUCAUGCCAAUGGCACUGCCCGGUAGCUAAAUGCGGAAGAGAUAAGUGCUGAAAGCAUCUAAGCACGAAACUUGCCCCGAGAUGAGUUCUCCCUGACCCUUUAAGGGUCCUGAAGGAACGUUGAAGACGACGACGUUGAUAGGCCGGGUGUGUAAGCGCAGCGAUGCGUUGAGCUAACCGGUACUAAUGAACCGUGAGGCUUAACCUU